RNAcentral lists this ribosomal RNA (464 nucleotides) under Vreelandella stevensii. Its description in RNAcentral is "partial 16S ribosomal RNA". It matches the Rfam family "Bacterial small subunit ribosomal RNA", at positions 338 to 795 of the family's 1533-position model. The record is from RNAcentral. Lineage: Bacteria; Pseudomonadati; Pseudomonadota; Gammaproteobacteria; Oceanospirillales; Halomonadaceae.
CCUACGGGAGGCAGCAGUGGGGAAUAUUGGACAAUGGGCGAAAGCCUGAUCCAGCCAUGCCGCGUGUGUGAAGAAGGCCUUCGGGUUGUAAAGCACUUUCAGUGGGGAAGAAAGCCUUGGGGCUAAUACCCUCGAGGAAGGACAUCACCCACAGAAGAAGCACCGGCUAACUCCGUGCCAGCAGCCGCGGUAAUACGGAGGGUGCGAGCGUUAAUCGGAAUUACUGGGCGUAAAGCGCGCGUAGGCGGUCUGAUAAGCCGGUUGUGAAAGCCCCGGGCUCAACCUGGGAACGGCAUCCGGAACUGUCAGGCUAGAGUGCAGGAGAGGAAGGUAGAAUUCCCGGUGUAGCGGUGAAAUGCGUAGAGAUCGGGAGGAAUACCAGUGGCGAAGGCGGCCUUCUGGACUGACACUGACGCUGAGGUGCGAAAGCGUGGGUAGCAAACAGGAUUAGAUACCCUAGAGUC